This 3942-nucleotide long non-coding RNA is filed under the name Oncorhynchus mykiss (rainbow trout). RNAcentral describes it as "lncRNA (ENSOMYG00000036988.2)". The record is from RNAcentral. Lineage: Eukaryota; Metazoa; Chordata; Actinopteri; Salmoniformes; Salmonidae.
UGGUAUAUAGCUAUUAUCGUUGAGGGCGUGGCGUGGCAGGGCCCUCGUACGGUGCUCCUGCAGAAGAACUCCCAGGGCUUCGGCUUCACGCUGCGCCACUUCAUUGUGUACCCGCCAGAGUCCUCCCUCCACAAUAACCUCAAGGAUGAGGAGAAUGGAAACGGCAACGGAAAAGGUUGUCAAAGGGGUCGUCUGGAGCCCAUGGACACCAUCUUUGUAAAGAGUGUGAGGGAGAAAAGCCCCGCCCACCAAGCUGGCCUGUGUACAGGGGACAGACUGGUAAAGGUGAAUGGGGAAAGUGUAUUAGGGAAGACCUACUCUCAGGUGAUCGCGUUGAUCCAGAACAGCGAGAAUGUUCUGGAGCUCUGCAUCAUGCCAAAAGAUGAGGAUGUGUUGCAGUUGGCGUACUCUCAGGAUGCCUACCUGAGAGGAAAUGAGCCAUACACGGGAGGGGCGCAGCAUAUCCCCGACCCUCCCCCACUCUGCUACCCCCGUGCCAAGCCCACUUCCACGGCCCCUCUGCCACCCAACCACCAAAGCCCCCUGGACAACUGGCACUGCCGCCCCAGCCCUGUUAACCAGGCAUCCUCCUUGGACAACCGCUCUGCCGCGGGAGAUUGGCUGCCAUCUUUGGGGCAGAACCGCGGGCGCUCGUCGUCGGCUGUCAGCGCACUGGAUUUCCACUUUGCCAACCACAACGCCGCCAUCGCCUCUGCAACCCUGCCCCACAUGCCCGCCCGGAAGGGAAGUUUACCGGCUACGCGUGCCCACAGCGACGCCAUGUGCCACCAGGCGCUGUCGGACUGGUACUACAGCCAGGCAGAGGCGGCCGAGCGCAUGUCCCCUCGACACCGGAGCAUUUCCCAGGAUCGGUUAGCCGAGCUGGGGUUGGGCUUAGCGCUGGGGCCUGGUGGCGCUGGAGGUGCGGGGUCUAACUCUAUGUCCUCCAUGGCUCACAGAGACCACGGCGUUUCCCAAGAAACUCUGGCAAGGAAUUGGCAUUUAGCCAGUACUUCUCCGGCUGAACUCUGCCUAUAUUAUGUCUACCUUUUCCCCACAGCCACAGCCCCCUCCGUUGGUCGGCAGACCCAGCAGCAGCAGGUGGCUGAGCCCCAGACCCAGAGCAGGAGGUUGGAGGAAGAGGAGCUGGUGGGUUACAAGAGCUACAGCCCCUCCUUCUGCCGCAAGGCCAGCCACCUCCUCCAACAAGCCCACUCCUUCAGAGAACCCACCUACAUCGGACCCCACCUCAACUGGGCACCCAGUGCCAAAACCAUGCUGGGGGAGGAGAGGGGGGAGUCGAGGGAGACGCUGUCUCCUCUCCCUCUGGGCCAGGAGGUGGUGCUGAGGCAGAAGCCCCCUAUGGGGCGUCGGACCCCCGUGCAGGCCCUCCGUCACCCCCUCUACGCCCUCCCAGUGGAUUCGGCCGAGCCCCCCGUCGGAAUGGGGGACAGUCUAAGGAGGCCCAACGGUAGCCUGCAACCCCACCACAGCACACCCGACUCCCUGGCCUCCAUUCCCUUUAUAGAUGACCCUAUCAGCCCUAGCGCUGACCUACGUGCCCGCCACGUGCCCGCCUGCUCCGUGGUGUCCUCCUCCAGUGCCCCGUGCCCUCUUGUGUCCUCUUUGCCCUGUGCCCUCACCUCUAGCAGUAUCAAAAGCCGCCGUUCCUCCUACCUGCUGGCCAUUACCACGGAGCGCUCCAAGUCAUGUGACGAGGGCCUCAACACCUUCCGGGAGGAAGGCCGUGUCUUCUCGAGACUACCAAAAAGGGUCAAGAGCUUUUUCACUGAUGGGUCUCUGGAGAGUCUACGUGCUGCAGAGGAGGCGCGGUCGAAACGUCACUCCACCUCUGAGCUAGGGACCAUCACCUUCAGUGACGUACGCAAGGACGGCUGGCUUCACUACAAACAGAUCCUCACGGAGAAGGGAAAAAAGGUGGGCGGCGGCAUGCGUCCGUGGAAGCACGUCUUCUCCGUGCUGCGCUCCCACUGCCUUUUGCUCUACAAAGACAAGCGGGAGGCGGUCCUCCACGGGGCGGGGGCGGGACCUGGCCACGGGGAGGACGAGCACCCUCCAAUCAGCAUCCGCGGCUGCCUGAUUGACAUUGCCUAUAGCGAAACCAAGCGUAAGCACACUCUGAGGCUGACCACUCAGGACUUCUGUGAGUACCUGUUGCAGGCGGAGGACAGAGAUGACAUGCUGGGCUGGAUCCGGGUCAUCAGAGAGAACAGCAAGACAGACAACGAGGAGCUGGGUUUUUCCAGACAAGCUCUCAUCAGCAAGAAGCUCAAUGACUACAGGAAACAAACCAAGGGUCCAUGGGGUAUCAUCAUGAAGAAAGCAAAGAAGACAGGCCCCAAGGUGUUUGGAGUGCGACUUGAGGACUGUCAACCUGCUGUUAACAACAAGUUUGUCCCUCUGAUUGUGGAGCUGUGCUGUGGGCUGGUGGAGAGCAUGGGUCUGGAGUACACUGGCGUCUACAGGGUGCCGGGCAACAAUGCCAUGGUGUCCAACCUGCAGGAGCAGCUCAACAGGGGCCUGGAGAUCAACAUUACUGAGGAGAGAUGGCAGGACCUGAAUGUGAUCAGCAGUCUCCUCAAGUCCUUCUUUAGGAAACUCCCAGAACCCCUGUUCACUGAUGACAAGUAUAAUGACUUUAUUGAUGCCAACCGGCUAGAGGACUCAGGGAACAGGCUGAAGAGCAUGAAGAAACUGAUCCAUGAUCUUCCAGACCACUAUCACCACACUCUAAAGUUCCUGGUCUGUCAUCUGAAGACAGUGGCGGAUCACGCCGACAAGAACAAGAUGGAGCCCAGGAACCUGGCUCUAGUGUUUGGUCCCACUCUGGUGCGUACCUCAGAGGACAACAUGACCGACAUGGUCACCCACAUGCCCGACCGCUACAAGAUCAUCGAGACGCUCAUCCUGCAUGUAAGAACUGCAGUCUGCACAUGGGGUUCCAAGAAGGACCUGAGUGCCAGGGACUUCCUCCCGUUGUCAAUCAUCUCCGCAGUGACCCGGAAACGCAAGAUACGCCCCAUCUCCCGCCCCCUGAGCAGCAGCACCGACGAAGACUCCGAACAUGAGCCAAUCAAAGCCAGCAACUACGGGGUAGGGGGAGGAGCCAAGGAAGAUGAGGAGGAAGGGGUUGGAAAAGGAUGCGCCCCUAAUGGAACUGAGGAAGUGGAGGAAAAGGGAGAAGAGGAGUGUAGGAAGAGGAUAGAGGCAAAACAGCAGUCUGACAGAGGAAGAGAGAAGGAGGGAGAAGGGAAGAAAGAAGGGAGUGCAUGGGCAAAAGAUAAAGGGGUGGCAUCCCCCAAACCUCAUCCUAACAGCUUCCUCUACACACACUACCAACCCACCACCACCAGCCCUAGCCCCCCAGUAGAGCCCUCAGUCUCCCCACAUUCGAAGCUCCCCGGCCUGGCCCGAGGACGCUCCACUGUCCCCUCCUGGCUCUCUCCCUCCAGACAGCCUGGCUCUAUCCAACCUUAUAACACCCAGAAAACACAACAGCCCCAGUUGGAACAGCAGCCACUGCCAGUGCAAUAUAGGAAGACAAGAGGAGGAAGGGCAAGGCCCCAGUCAAUGAAUUUGGAUAUGGUGAUGGGUAAGGGGGAGGGCGAGGGGGGAGUUGGGAGACGGGGAGAUAGGGUGAAGGUGGUAAGAGCCACAACAGAAGUGCAACGUCACCGCAGCAGUUCAGUUGGUGUUCCUCAGGGGUGUGUUGUCGCAUCCCUCAAAGUUCAAAGGAGUUCACGCCUAGCCUCUGCUCUAGCCCCAUCUCCAGUCUCUUUCUCUCCCCCUCUCCCUUCCUCCUCCUUUUCCCCUUCAUGGACAGAUCAGGGAUCCCUUGGUUCUACUGUUGUCAAGCGGAGGUCGGCCCUGGAGCCUCGAGACAAGCGGAAAGCCUGGCGCCGCCACACGGUUGUGGUCUAA